AUGGCGGCCGCGCCCGGCGAUGAGGUUCCGACGCCUUUCGCGGCCCCUGUUCCUCCGGCCACGGCUGUUGCUGGCUGGUCCUCGCUACCGACCGACCUCGUGCGCCGCAUCGCCGACUGCCUCCUCGACACCAACGACGUCGACUGCUAUGUGGACCUCCGCGCCGUCUGCCACAACUGGCGCUCCGCCACCGACGACCCGAGGAGCGACGUCUCCGACCCCCGCUUCCACCCGCGCUUCUGGAUAGUCCUCGACGACGACGGGGCCUUCCAGAGCGACGACAGCCGGGUCUUGGUGAACACCGCCACCGGCCGCUUCCUCCGCAAGAAGCUCCCGCUGCCCCGCCACUACUACGUGGUCACCACCACUGUCAGCGGCUUCUUCGUCCUGGCCGACAGGAGCCCGCCUCACGCUGCUCGCGUCCUCAACCCUCUCAUAGGCGCCGUGGUCCGUUUCAAGGCGCCCCUGCCCCGGGACGCGUCCGUCGCCGUUUUCCUCUUCUGUGGCGGCACCUCGCACAAUCUCACCGUGCUCUGUGACUCAACUCGCAAGUAUUACACAGCAGUUCCUGAGAGCAAACGUUUCGCCCCCGUGACCACCAACGAUGUUAUGUACAAUUACAUGAGGAAGGCGGUGGUCGGCGGCGUGUACGCCAAUGGCGGCGGCUGGGCAUCGGUGGCGCAGUCUAAUGUCAUCAUGGAGAAAUUGUUCAAUUUGUCAGAGCAGCUUAAGGUCCAUUUCGUCAAGUUUUUCUCUGUCGACCCUCUUGGUCAUCGCGGCGAUGUCAGGUGUUUCCUACUGGAUUUUGGUGGAGAAGUCUUUUUCAUCACAAAGGCAUGGGGACGCGUUAUGGUUCUCGGCAUCGAACCAACGGAGAAACAGAUGCUCGCGCCUGUGGAGACCGUGGGCAGGUAUGCCAUCUUCGUCGGCCAUCAAAGGUGCCUGGUUGUUGAUGCCGCCAAGUUCCCAUCCGUUGAGGCAGACUGCGUCUACUACACUCUAGACGUUGGUAAAUUUGCUUUCAUCUGGAAGCACAGCAUCAGUGAUGGGAAAGAUGAGAGGGUGUUUGACGCCAUCGAUUUCGUCAAGGAGAACAAGCGGUUUGUCCCUGUCGGUGCCCGUCCUUUCACCAUCAUCCAGCUUCUCUCGAGCUACACCAUCAACCUCAGUGAUUCUGAACUGGCCUCAAAACAAAGCUCGUAA
This 1203-nucleotide ribosomal RNA is filed under the name Triticum aestivum (bread wheat). Its description in RNAcentral is "partial small subunit ribosomal RNA". Lineage: Eukaryota; Viridiplantae; Streptophyta; Magnoliopsida; Poales; Poaceae. The record is from RNAcentral.